AGUGAGGAACAGGAAGCAAGCGGAGGCACCGACCUGAGGAACGCUCAAAAUUAAAAUUUAAGAGCAAGCCCGGGAAUUUACGGUGGAGGGGUGCAAGUUCCGAGGGGACGCCGGAAAAGCCUGCGACGUCCACCCCUGACGACCGCCCUCGGGGGCGAACUGCCGCUCAGGAGGGCGAUCCGGACGCCCUGCCCGCGGCCCCGGCACGGCAGCCCCGGCGCGGCGGCCCGGCUUCGGCUUCCGCCCCAGCCCGGUCCCGGCGUCCUGCACCGCCGGCCCGGCCUCACUCACAGCAUGAUCCGCGAGACGUGCAGCCGCACCGGGACGCUCCUGUCUUUGAAGGCGGUGGUGAUGAAGCAGCCGAAGGGAUAAAGAAGAAAUAACCUUUAGUCAACCCACCAAUUACAUUUCUCCAUUUUCAGUGUUCAUUGAGCCAUUGGAUAUAAAUGUGAAUACAGAGAGGAGAGGGAAAGAGGAGUAUGCUAGGACUGAGUCCUUCCCUUCGGGCUAAUUGGUGCACUGUGGCAGAAAGACUGCUAGUUUUGCAUCAAGAUCCAUGAUCCUAAGUUUUCAGUGGGGCACAGAGCCACCUGGAACAAAGAUUACAUUUCCCAGCUUUCCUAAGAACCAGGUGUGCCCUUUUGACUGUUUUGGCAAUAGAGUCAUUGCCCA
RNAcentral lists this long non-coding RNA (672 nucleotides) under Homo sapiens (human). RNAcentral describes it as "SPCS3 antisense RNA 1 (SPCS3-AS1)". The record is from RNAcentral. Lineage: Eukaryota; Metazoa; Chordata; Mammalia; Primates; Hominidae.